This is a long non-coding RNA of Oncorhynchus keta (chum salmon), 1693 nucleotides long. RefSeq lists it as uncharacterized. Lineage: Eukaryota; Metazoa; Chordata; Actinopteri; Salmoniformes; Salmonidae. The record is from RefSeq and is a predicted model, not a curated record. The transcript is spliced from 2 exons.
CGGCGGUCGUGUCCUCCUCCAGUGUUUUCCUGGGCGCUGAUGUCCGGUGAGCUUGCAGCUCCAAGCGUCAGUACGGUGCCCUCCAGAAAGAUCAACAUCACCAGAAGUAGGAGUCCCCGCUCCAGAAAACUUCUGGAGCCAGUGGAGGACCUGAGCCCUGCCUCGGGACUACUUGGCCAUGCUGUCCCCAGUCCACCUGGUCGUGCUGCUGCUCCAGUUUCAACUGUUCUGCCUGCGGCUAUGGAACUCUGACCUGUUCACUGGACGUGCUACCUUGUCCCAGACCUGCUGUUUUUCGACUCUCUCUACCGCACCUGCUGUCUCAAUCUCUGAAUGAUCAGCUAUAAAAAGCCAACUGACAUUUACUCCUGAGGUGCUGACUUGUUGCACCCUCUACAAACACUGAGAUUUUUAUUAUUUGACCCUGCUGGUCAUCUAUGAAUAUUUGAACAUCGUGACCAUGUACUGUUAUAAUCUCCACCUGGCACAGCCAGAAGAGCCUGGUUCCUCUCUAGGUUUCUUCCUAGGUUCCGGCCUUUCUAGGGAGUUUUUCCUAGCCACUGUGCUUCUACAUCUGUAUUGCUUGCUGUUUGGGGUUUUAGGCUGGGUUUCUGUAUAGCACUUGUGACAUUGGCUGAUGUAAAAAGGGCUUUAUAAAUACAUUUGAUUGAUUGAUUGAUCAUUACUCAGGUGCUGAGGUGCUGGGCACAAUGAACGGCACUCUAAAAUGUACAGUUUUGCCACAACACAAUGCCGCAGAUGUCUCAACUUUUGAGGAAGUGUACAAUUGGCAUGCUGACUACAGGAAUGUCCAACAGAGCUUUUGCCAGAGAAUCUCUAAUCCUCUAACAUAAGCCGCCUCCAAUGUCAUUUUAGAGAAUUUGGCAGUACAUCCAACCGGCCUCACAACCGCAAACCACAUGUAACCACAGCAGCCAAGGACCUCCACAUCUGGCUUCUUCACCUGCGGGAUCGUCUGAGACCAGCCACCCGGACAGCUGAUGAAACUGAAGAGUAUUUAUGUUUGUAAUAAAGCCCUUUGGGGUGAGUGGACCUAUGCCCUCCCAGGCCCACCCAUGGUUGCACCCCUGCCCAGUCAUGUUAAAUCCAUAAAUUAGGGCCUAAUUUAUUUAUUUCAAUUGACUGAUUUCCUUAUAUGAACUGAAACUCAGUAAAAUCGUUGUAAUUGUUGCAUGUUGCGUUUAUAUUUUUGGUCAGUAUACAUAUACAGUAGGGCUUAUUAUAUGUUGGUGUGGCAGGUAGCCUAGCGGUUAGAGCAGGUAGCCUAGUGGUUAGAGCAGUUAGCCUAGCGGUUAGAGCAGGUAGCCUAGCGUUUAGAGCAGGUAGCCUGGUGGUUAGAGCAGUUAGCCUAGCGGUUAGAGCAGGUAGCCUAGCGGUUAGUGUUGGGCCAGUAACUGAAAGUUUGCUUGAUCGAAUCCCUGAGCUGACAAGGUAAAAAUCUGUUGUUCUGCUCCUGAAAAAGACUGUUCCUAGGCCAUCAUUGUAAAUAAGAAUUUGUUCUUAACUGACUUGCCUAGUUAAAUAAAGGUUAAAUAAAAAAAUAAAAAAUGUUGGCUCAAGGCCAGCAGCUAAGCUACUGUAUUAGAGUUGCAUAGUAAUAUGUUAGGUUAGUAUUAGCACUAAGGUGUAUGUGGACUGAUCAUUGUCUAUCAAUAAAGCACAAAUUGGGACA